AUUGAACGCUGGCGGCAGGCCUAACACAUGCAAGUCGAACGAGUGGCGGACGGGUGAGUAAUGUCUGGGAAACUGCCUGAUGGAGGGGGAUAACUAAUGGAAACGGUAGCUAAUACCGCAUACCAUCAGAUGUGCCCAGAUGGGAUUAGCUAGUUGGUGGGGUAACGGCCUACCAAGGCGACGAUCCCUAGCUGGUCUGAGAGGAUGACCAGCCACAUUGGAACUGAGACACGGCCCAGACUCCUACGGGAGGCAGCAGUGGGGAAUAUUGGACAAUGGGCGCAAGCCUGAUCCAGCCAUGCCGCGUGUAUGAAGAAGGCCUUCGGGUUGUAAAGGACUUUCGUCGGGGAGGCGUUACCCGCAGAAGAAGCACCGGCUAACUCCGUGCCAGCAGCCGCGGUAAUAC
Molecule: ribosomal RNA, 406 nt
Filed under: uncultured bacterium
Lineage: Bacteria
Description: partial 16S ribosomal RNA
Rfam family: Bacterial small subunit ribosomal RNA
Source: RNAcentral